RNAcentral lists this ribosomal RNA (407 nucleotides) under uncultured bacterium. RNAcentral describes it as "partial 16S ribosomal RNA". It matches the Rfam family "Bacterial small subunit ribosomal RNA", at positions 30 to 526 of the family's 1533-position model. The record is from RNAcentral.
AUUGAACGCUGGCGGCAGGCCUAACACAUGCAAGUCGAGCGGAGCGACCGACGGGUGAGUAAUGGCUAGGAAUCUGCAUGGUAGUGGGGGAUAACGUCCGGAACCGGGCGCUCGUACCGCAUCCUAUUCGAUGCGCCUUGGUCGAAUUAGCUAGUUGGUGGGGUAAAGGCCUACCAAGGCGACGAUCCGUAACUGGUCUGAGAGGAUGAUCAGCCAAACUGGAACUGAGACACGGCCCAGACUCCUCCGUGAGGCAGCAGUGGGGAAUAUUUGACAAUGGGCGAAAGCCUGACCCAGCCAUGCCGCGUGUGUGAAGAAGGUCUUCGGAUUGUAAAGCACUUUAAGUUGGGAGGCGUUACCAACAGAAUAAGCACCGGCUAACUUCGUGCCAGCAGCCGCGGUAAUUC